UACGUAGGGGGCAAGCGUUGUCCGGAGUUACUGGGCGUAAAGCGCACGCAGGCGGUCGAUUAAGUUUGGAGUGACAGUUGGUGGCUUAACUGCCAAAGUGCUUUGGAAACUGAUCGACUUGAGGGCUUCAGAGGGACACGGAAUUCCGGGUGGAGUGGUGAAAUGCGUAGAGAUCCGGAGGAACACCGAAGGCGAAGGCAGUGUCCUGGGGAGUACCUGACGCUCAGGUGCGAAAGCCAGGGGAGCGAACGGG
RNAcentral lists this ribosomal RNA (253 nucleotides) under uncultured bacterium. RNAcentral describes it as "partial 16S ribosomal RNA". It matches the Rfam family "Bacterial small subunit ribosomal RNA", at positions 524 to 776 of the family's 1533-position model. The record is from RNAcentral.